Molecule: ribosomal RNA, 549 nt
Filed under: uncultured bacterium
Lineage: Bacteria
Description: bacterial SSU rRNA
Rfam family: Bacterial small subunit ribosomal RNA
Source: RNAcentral
UGGGGAAUAUUGGACAAUGUGCGAAAGCCUGAUCCAGCCAUGCCGCGUGUGUGAAGAAGGCCUUUUGGUUGUAAAGCACUUUAAGUGGGGAGGAAAAGCUUAUGGUUAAUACCCAUAAGCCCUGACGUUACCCACAGAAUAAGCACCGGCUAACUCUGUGCCAGCAGCCGCGGUAAUACAGGGGGUGCAAGCGUUAAUCGAAAUUACUGGGCGUAAAGCGCGCGUAGGUGGUUAUUUAAGUCAGAUGUGAAAGCCCCGGGCUUAACCUGGGAACUGCAUCUGAUACUGGAUAACUAGAGUAGGUGAGAGGGGAGUAGAGUUCCAGGUGUAGCGGUGAAAUGCGUAGAGAUCUGGAGGAAUACCGAUGGCGAAGGCAGCUCCCUGGCAUCAUACUGACACUGAGGUGCGAAAGCGUGGGUAGCAAACAGGAUUAGAUACCCUGGUAGUCCACGCCGUAAACGAUGUCUACCAGUCGUUGGGUCUUUUAAAGACUUAGUGACGCAGUUAACGCAAUAAGUAGACCGCCUGGGGAGUACGGCCGCAAGGUUA